CCUGUUUGCCAGGAUUCCCUAAGAAGUUCCUUUCUCUUCAGGAGCUAUGGUAUGGUGUGCUGUGGUCUGAUACGGAGUUUUUGUCAAGAGCCCAGGGUUCAAGUCACAAGUUCAAGUCCCAGCUCAGCCACUUACAGACCAUGUGGCCGGGCAAACCAUGUGGCCACGGCUGCCUGGAACAUUGCUGACCCACGGUGAAUAACGCCUUCUGGUAUUCAUGCCCUUGCACACGGACUCUGGGUUUGGCCAUGUGACUUGCUCAGUCAGUGGGACACGAACAAGAGCCACGCAAGCAGCGCUUGACAAGUGCAGUGGGUGGUCCAGAAGCCAGCGCCAUGCUGCAGAGAAGCUCAGACUGCAGAGUGAUGAGAGGCCACGUGGAGACAGACCCUGGAGGACACUUUUCCUCCCAGGAAACAUGGGCAUCUUCAAAAAUCAGUACCAUCCAGAUCUCAGAAGUUCUAAGGCCACAGGAAAGGAAAACUUCAAAGACAGAAAAACAAGGUGCAGGAACCUCAGCAGACACCCCUGGGGGAGCCGGACUGACACCUGGGUCUUCAGGAACUGAUGCAAUCCAGGAGCCUCCAUGGGAGGGACGGCAGGGGGCGAGAUGAUGUGCAAAUGUUUAUUCUCUGUCCUGAGCUCUUUGCACACAUUAACUCAUGGAAUCCUCCCAAAUAUUCACAAGCCAAGUAGUACCAUUCCCAUUUUAUGGAGGACAUGAGUCUCAAAGGAGUGAAGCAGCCUGCCUUCGGUCACACAACUAACACAUGGCAGGGCUGAGACUUAAACCUCAAUGGAAGGAAACAACAGCCAGGUGCCUUCCAAAUCCUGGGUGUAAAUCCCUGCCCUUUGUGUGUUCCUGGGAGGCCUUGGGCACGUUGCUUAACCUCUCUGAGUUUCAGUUUCCCCAUGCAUAAAACUAGGACCCUCCUUGUCUCUUCCUCCUAAGAGCCUUGUGAGCAUAGAGAAUGAGUCUUGUGUGAUCAUGUGUUAGAUGUGUUAGUCAUAUUAAUUUUGACCCUGACUCCCACCCCAGCCUCCAGACCAGCCAGUUUUCCAUUACACUGAGUUGUUUCCAUCCUAUUGACACAAACAAGAUAAGAAUUUUUUUUAACCCAAACUCCAGGCUGAUCACAAAUUACACAAGAGUUGAUGUCCAUGUCUGAUUCAUAA
This is a long non-coding RNA of Macaca mulatta (Rhesus monkey), 1176 nucleotides long. RefSeq lists it as uncharacterized. NCBI's taxonomy places the organism in Eukaryota, Metazoa, Chordata, Mammalia, Primates, Cercopithecidae. The record is from RefSeq and is a predicted model, not a curated record.